Molecule: ribosomal RNA, 542 nt
Filed under: Xylodon reticulatus
Lineage: Eukaryota; Fungi; Basidiomycota; Agaricomycetes; Hymenochaetales; Schizoporaceae
Description: eukaryotic LSU rRNA
Rfam family: 5.8S ribosomal RNA (bases 161-314)
Source: RNAcentral
CUGUGGUGACUGCGGAGGAUCAUUAAUGAAUGUUGAAAGGAGUCUGAUGCUGGCGCCUCGGCGCACUGUGCUCGGCUCUGAUCCAUUCACACACACUGUGCACAUGCCUUUUAUUUACCAACGCAUGAACCGUCAUACCAUUCUAUUUGAAUGUAAAUACAACUUUCAACAACGGAUCUCUUGGCUCUCGCAUCGAUGAAGAACGCAGCGAAAUGCGAUAAGUAAUGUGAAUUGCAGAAUUCAGUGAAUCAUCGAAUCUUUGAACGCACCUUGCGCUCCUUGGUAUUCCGAGGAGCAUGCCUGUUUGAGUGUCGUGAAAUCAUCAACUCGACAGAGUUGGAAUUGAGGGUUUCUGCUGGCUCCUCGCGGGGUCGGCUCCCUUUGAAUGCAUUUCAAAAGAUUGAAGCUCCGUCGAUUGGCGUGAUAAGUGUCUCGUCUUGAGGCGUGAGCGAUUUCAUUCUAUCAUGACUCUUUUGACCUCAAAUCAGGUAGGACUACCCGCUGAACUUAAGCAUAUCUAAAACCGGGAAAGAAAAAAUGUG